Molecule: ribosomal RNA, 1284 nt
Filed under: Krasilnikoviella sp.
Lineage: Bacteria; Bacillati; Actinomycetota; Actinomycetes; Micrococcales; Promicromonosporaceae
Description: bacterial SSU rRNA
Rfam family: Bacterial small subunit ribosomal RNA
Source: RNAcentral
GCAGUCGAACGGUGAAGCCCAGCUUGCUGGGUGGAUCAGUGGCGAACGGGUGAGUAACACGUGAGCAACCUGCCCUCCACUUCGGGAUAAGCCUUGGAAACGGGGUCUAAUACCGGAUAUGAGCCUGCAUCGCAUGGUGUGGGUUGGAAAGUUUUUCGGUGGGGGAUGGGCUCGCGGCCUAUCAGCUUGUUGGUGGGGUGAUGGCCUACCAAGGCGUCGACGGGUAGCCGGCCUGAGAGGGCGACCGGCCACACUGGGACUGAGACACGGCCCAGACUCCUACGGGAGGCAGCAGUGGGGAAUAUUGCACAAUGGGCGCAAGCCUGAUGCAGCGACGCCGCGUGAGGGAUGACGGCCUUCGGGUUGUAAACCUCUUUCAGCAGGGAAGAAGCGCAAGUGACGGUACCUGCAGAAGAAGCGCCGGCUAACUACGUGCCAGCAGCCGCGGUAAUACGUAGGGCGCAAGCGUUGUCCGGAAUUAUUGGGCGUAAAGAGCUCGUAGGCGGUCUGUCGCGUCUGGUGUGAAAUCCCGAGGCUCAACCUCGGGCUUGCAUCGGGUACGGGCAGACUAGAGUGCGGUAGGGGAGACUGGAAUUCCUGGUGUAGCGGUGGAAUGCGCAGAUAUCAGGAGGAACACCGAUGGCGAAGGCAGGUCUCUGGGCCGCAACUGACGCUGAGGAGCGAAAGCAUGGGGAGCGAACAGGAUUAGAUACCCUGGUAGUCCAUGCCGUAAACGUUGGGCACUAGGUGUGGGGCUCAUUCCACGAGUUCCGUGCCGCAGCUAACGCAUUAAGUGCCCCGCCUGGGGAGUACGGCCGCAAGGCUAAAACUCAAAGGAAUUGACGGGGGCCCGCACAAGCGGCGGAGCAUGCGGAUUAAUUCGAUGCAACGCGAAGAACCUUACCAAGGCUUGACAUGUACGAGAACACGCUAGAGAUAGCGGACUCUUUGGACACUCGUACACAGGUGGUGCAUGGUUGUCGUCAGCUCGUGUCGUGAGAUGUUGGGUUAAGUCCCGCAACGAGCGCAACCCUCGUCCUAUGUUGCCAGCGGGUUAUGCCGGGGACUCAUGGGAGACUGCCGGGGUCAACUCGGAGGAAGGUGGGGAUGACGUCAAAUCAUCAUGCCCCUUAUGUCUUGGGCUUCACGCAUGCUACAAUGGCCGGUACAGAGGGCUGCGAUACCGUAAGGUGGAGCGAAUCCCAAAAAGCCGGUCUCAGUUCGGAUUGGGGUCUGCAACUCGACCCCAUGAAGUCGGAGUCGCUAGUAAUCGCAGNUCAGCAA